UACGGAGGGUGCGAGCGUUAAUCGGAAUUACUGGGCGUAAAGCGCACGCAGGCGGUCUAUUAAGUGAGAUGUGAAAUCCCCGGGCUUAACUUGGGAAUUGCAUCUGAUACUGGUUGGCUAGAGUCCUGUAGAGGGGGGUAGAAUUCCAUGUGUAGCGGUGAAAUGCGUAGAGAUGUGGAGGAAUACCAGUGGCGAAGGCGGCCCCCUGGACAAAGACUGACGCUCAGGUGCGAAAGCGUGGGGAGCAAACAGG
Molecule: ribosomal RNA, 253 nt
Filed under: uncultured bacterium
Lineage: Bacteria
Description: partial 16S ribosomal RNA
Rfam family: Bacterial small subunit ribosomal RNA
Source: RNAcentral